Molecule: ribosomal RNA, 431 nt
Filed under: uncultured soil bacterium
Lineage: Bacteria
Description: bacterial SSU rRNA
Rfam family: Bacterial small subunit ribosomal RNA
Source: RNAcentral
AGAACGAACGCUGGCGGCAGGCCUAACACAUGCAAGUCGAACGUGAAGCCACCUUCGGGUGGUGGAAAGUGGCAGACGGGUGAGUAACGCGUGGGAAUCUACCCAAUGGUACGGAAUGACUCAGGGAAACUUGAGCUAAUACCGUAUGUGCCCGAAAGGGGAAAGAUUUAUCGCCAUUGGAUGAGCCCGCGUCUGAUUAGCUAGUUGGUGGGUAAUGGCCCACAAGGCGACGAUCAGUAGCUGGUCUGAGAGGAUGAUCAGCCACACUGGGACUGAGACACGGCCCAGACUCCGUACGGGAGGCAGCAGGUGGGGAAUAUUGGAACAAUGGGCGCAACGCCUGAUCCAGCCAUGCCGGCGUGAGUGAGUGAACGGCCCGUAGGGUUAGUAAAGUCUCGUUUUCGGCGGGACGAAUAAGUGGACGGUACCCG